RNAcentral lists this ribosomal RNA (468 nucleotides) under uncultured bacterium. Its description in RNAcentral is "partial 16S ribosomal RNA". It matches the Rfam family "Bacterial small subunit ribosomal RNA", at positions 28 to 507 of the family's 1533-position model. The record is from RNAcentral.
GAUGAACGCUGGCGGCGUGCUUAACACAUGCAAGUCGAACGGAAAGGCCCUGCUUUUGUGGCGUGCUCGAGUGGCGAACGGGUGAGUAACACGUGAGUAACCUGCCCUUGACUUUGGGAUAACUUCAGGAAAAUGGGGCUAAUACCGGAUAGGAGCUCCUGCUGCAUGGUGGUGGUUGGAAAGUUUCGGCGGUUGGGGCUGGACUCGCGGCUUAUCAGCUUGUUGGUGGGGUAUUGGCUUACCAAGGCUUUGACGGGUAGCCGGCCUGAGAGGGUGACCGGCCACCAUGGGACUGCGGUACGGCCCAGACUGCUAUGGGAGGCAGCAGUGGGAAGUAUUGCACAAUGGGCGGAAGCCUGAUGCAGCAACGCCGCGUGCGGGAUGACGGCCUUCGGGUUGUAAACCGCUUUCGCCUGUGACGAAGCGUGAGUGACGGUAAUGGGUAAAGAAGCACCGGCUAACUACGUG